CCUACGGGUGGCAGCAGUGAGGAAUAUUGGUCAAUGGACGCGAGUCUGAACCAGCCAAGUAGCGUGAAGGAUGACUGCCCUAUGGUUUGUAAACUUCUUUUAUAUGGGAGUAAAAUGUUCCACGUGUGGGAUUUUGUAUGUACCAUAUGAAUAAGGAUCGGCUAACUCCGUGCCAGCAGCCGCGGUAAUACGGAGGAUCCGAGCGUUAUCCGGAUUUAUUGGGUUUAAAGGGAGCGUAGGUGGGUUGUUAAGUGAGUUGUGAAAGUUUGCGGCUGAACCGUAAAAUUGCAGUUGAAACUGGUGGUCUUGAGUACAGGAGAGGUGGGCGGAAUUCGUGGUGUAGCGGUGAAAUGCUUAGAUAUCACGAAGAACUCCGAUUGCGAAGGCAGUCCACUGGACUGCAACUGACACUGAGGCUCGAAAGUGUGGGUAUCAAACAGGAUUAGAUACCCGGGUAGUC
Molecule: ribosomal RNA, 460 nt
Filed under: uncultured bacterium
Lineage: Bacteria
Description: partial 16S ribosomal RNA
Rfam family: Bacterial small subunit ribosomal RNA
Source: RNAcentral